Molecule: long non-coding RNA, 508 nt
Filed under: Helianthus annuus (common sunflower)
Lineage: Eukaryota; Viridiplantae; Streptophyta; Magnoliopsida; Asterales; Asteraceae
Description: hypothetical non coding rna
Source: RNAcentral
AUGAUAUAUUUCACACAAUAAAAUGCACUUCCAUCUCUCCCCAAAAUUGAGCUUCUUCCCCCCAAAGAUGAGCCUUCUUCCCCCCAAAAUUUUCAGCCCAAAUUUUCAGCAAAACAAAUCGAUCUCUUCCUGAACGCCAUUUUUACUCUGUUCUUCAUCACUCAAUACACACCCGUUUCUCCUCUCCCCUCGAACCCUAACCAACCGGCGGCAACCUCUACCCCACACGAAAACCCUAAUUACUAACCGGCGGCAACCAUUUCCUCACCUGCGAAAACCCUAAUUACCUAACCGGAGAAAACCCCAAUCACCUAACCUACGGCUACAAACCCUAAUCGGAGUGUAAUAGGAGGAGGAGGUUGUUGUUAUACCUUUUCACUUGAGCUUGAACCGAGACAUAAAUAGAUUUUACGCGAACGCAACCGACCUUACCAGUCAAAAUGAUAUUGGUGGUGAACAAGUUACUUCUGUGCUUGAAGAAAUGGCGAAUCUUAAUAGUUAUAUAUAG